Molecule: ribosomal RNA, 253 nt
Filed under: uncultured bacterium
Lineage: Bacteria
Description: partial 16S ribosomal RNA
Rfam family: Bacterial small subunit ribosomal RNA
Source: RNAcentral
UACGUAGGGGGCAAGCGUUAUCCGGAUUUACUGGGUGUAAAGGGAGCGUAGACGGCAUGGCAAGCCAGAUGUGAAAUGCCGGGGCUCAACCCCGGGACUGCAUUUGGAACUGUUAAGCUGGAGUGUCGGAGAGGCAGGCGGAAUUCCUAGUGUAGCGGUGAAAUGCGUAGAUAUUAGGAGGAACACCAGUGGCGAAGGCGGCCUGCUGGACGAUAACUGACGUUGAGGCUCGAAAGCGUGGGGAGCAAACAGG